GUGCUCGCUUUGGCAGCACAUAUACUAAAAUUGAAACCAUACAGAGAAGAUUAGCAUGGCCCCUGCGCAAGGAUGACACGUAAAUUCGUGAAGCGUUCUGUAUUUUU
Molecule: small nuclear RNA, 107 nt
Filed under: Chinchilla lanigera (long-tailed chinchilla)
Lineage: Eukaryota; Metazoa; Chordata; Mammalia; Rodentia; Chinchillidae
Source: RNAcentral